GAACUUGCUCUUGGGCUUGAGGUAAAAAGUGUUACGCUGUUGAUUUCCGUGCAUGUAAAAGAUAUCAUGGCCGAAGGGAGUUUACAGUGACCACAAAGUGAAACAGCCUAGGCAGCGAUUGUGGGCUGCAUCAUCUUGUGUGGUUUUGAAUGCUCACCACCUCAAGCCUAGGAAGCGAAGGUUCGUUGUUGUGGAAAGGCAACCUUUGAUUAAUAUUAGCAGGUCCGGAAGAGAGAGGUAACGUGUCUGGUCUGCAAUAAAGGCAAUGAUUACAAGGUGGGAUUCUAUGCUCUGCAGCUAAUCACUUUGAUCGUUGGAUGAGGUAGAAGAACAACCUUGGACCCUUUUUGUGGAUAAGCAUUGAAGCCAACAAAGAACAGAUGGUACGGCAAGUUGCCAUGGGCUGUAGAUUCAUUGUCAUGUAGAUCUGCUUGUUUUGAUGAUGUUGUCAUGGACUCGGAUGGAUUAAACUUGCUAUUGUGGACUUCAAUGGCUCAUUAGUCACCAGCAAUCACAUCGGACUAAAUUAGAACCUGUGAGAUCUUCUAAGGGAAGGACUGAUCCUCUUUGUGUCAGAAAACCGAAAAAACGCUGCUUAAAUCGGAUAAGAUCUAAAUCAUAACAUGUUGGUGUGUAAUCUACAAAAUGAUCAGUAUAGAUAGAGGAAAGGAAGCAGCACAGCGAUAACUAAGAAACAUAGAGGUGGAGCCAGUCAUAAUAAACAGUCCUUUUUCCUCUACGAUUGUCUCUCCAACUUGUUCUUCUGUUGCGGAAAUCCUUUCGGUUCAAGAAGAUGAGGCCUGUCAAUCGUAAGCAGUGUAAUGACCUUGGAAUUUGCUCUCUCUCUCUCUAUUGAUCUAUCUAUCUGUGUGCGUGUGUGUAUGUGUGUCAACUUGGAAGGGGUAGAAGAGCAAAGACACUGCUUGAUUCAGAAGCAAAGGGUGACAGAAUCUGAAAACAAACAGCAAAGGGUUUCACAGUGCAACCUUCGCUUUCAAGAACAU
Molecule: long non-coding RNA, 1004 nt
Filed under: Musa acuminata (dwarf banana)
Lineage: Eukaryota; Viridiplantae; Streptophyta; Magnoliopsida; Zingiberales; Musaceae
Description: long non-coding RNA (MACU_LNC001182)
Source: RNAcentral